AUAAUUGUUGGUUUUCCACAUUUUGUGUUUCAUUUUCAGUGUAGUGUUUCCACAUUUAUAUAUUUUCAUAAUUCUAAAAAGUUUAGAAUGACCAAAAGCGAGCUAGUAAUCGAGUACACAGCUCCGCGGCUGAACCGGAAGCGCGUUAUGUAGACGAAGGGUCUGUACUCCGGUGCUGGCUCCUCGUGCCCCAUCUCUCUCUCUCUCUCUCCCUGAGCUCGAAAAAUGGAGAUGACUCUGCGCCUCAAUCAGCUCGUGCCAUUGUUUUUGGUUUUCUUCCUUCUGUUUUCCGUCUCUCUCACUGUCAGAUCUUCAAGCAAUGGAAGUAUAGAGAAGGAAAAAACAUUAGCCAUGAUAAAACCUGAUGGAUUAUUGGGUAACCACACAGAUGAGAUAAAGAAAGUUAUUUUUGAUUCUGGCUUUGAAAUUAUCAAGGAAAUCACAGUUCAACUUGAUGAGGAUAGGGCUGCAAGCUUUUAUGCCGAGCAUUCUUUGAAGAGCUUCUUUCCAAGCCUUAUCAAAUACAUGACAAGUGGUCCAGUGUUAAUUAUGGUCUUGGAGAAGGAGAAUGCUGUCGCUGAUUGGCGUGCUUUGAUUGGACCAACUGACACAAGCAAGGCUAAGGCUACCCAUCCUCAUAGCAUCAGGGCCAUGUGUGGGCUGGAUUCAGAAAAGAAUUGUGUUCAUGGUUCAGAUUCUCCUCUAUCCAGUACUAGGGAGAUAUCAUUUUUCUUUCAAGAGAUGUCUUCAGGUGAAGAUGUUAUGAAGCAUGAUGAACUAUAAAAGAAGAAAUUAUUUGUCAUGGGUACUUGAUGCUAAGAUUUACCUUAAGAUAAUCUUGGAAGUACAGUUGAAGAAGGAAAUCAAACAUCCUUGUAGGAUCGCGCAAAGAUACCUUGAAGAGCAUAGUUGAAAUCAGAGUAAUGUAGCGGAAGCAUGGGUGGGAUUAGAAGGAACAGUUUAAAUUAAAUAUUAAAUUUGUUAUUUUUGUAUAUUUUAAAAUUUUCCUAGGAUGAAUGAUAUUGGAAAUAUUGUUUUAAUGAGGUUUUUAGUACUUCGAUAUAAAUAUAUUUGAGGUUUUUCGCUGUAUAA
Molecule: RNA transcript, 1092 nt
Organism: Malania oleifera
Lineage: Eukaryota; Viridiplantae; Streptophyta; Magnoliopsida; Santalales; Ximeniaceae
Gene name: probable nucleoside diphosphate kinase 5
Exons: 7
Source: RefSeq, a predicted model, not a curated record